This 489-nucleotide ribosomal RNA is filed under the name uncultured Pseudomonadota bacterium. RNAcentral's name for it is "bacterial SSU rRNA". It matches the Rfam family "Bacterial small subunit ribosomal RNA", at positions 355 to 863 of the family's 1533-position model. Lineage: Bacteria; Pseudomonadati; Pseudomonadota. The record is from RNAcentral.
UGGGGAAUAUUGGACAAUGGGCGCAAGCCUGAUCCAGCAAUGCCGCGUGAGUGAUGAAGGCCUUAGGGUUGUAAAGCUCUUUCGGCGGGGAAGAUGAUGACGGUACCCGCAGAAGAAGCCCCGGCUAACUUCGUGCCAGCAGCCGCGGUAAUACGAAGGGGGCUAGCGUUGUUCGGAAUUACUGGGCGUAAAGGGCGCGUAGGCGGCGCGUUAAGUCAGGUGUGAAAGCCCUGGGCUCAACCCAGGAAUUGCACUUGAUACUGACGUGCUUGAAUCCGGAAGAGGAUGACGGAAUUCCCAGUGUAGAGGUGAAAUUCAUUGAUAUUGGGAAGAACACCAGUGGCGAAGGCGGUCAUCUGGUCCGGUAUUGACGCUGAGGCGCGAAAGCGUGGGGAGCAAACAGGAUUAGAUACCCUGGUAGUCCACGCCGUAAACGAUGAGUGCUAGACGUCGGGGGUUGCCGUCUCGGUGUCGCCGCUAACGCAUUAA